RNAcentral lists this ribosomal RNA (442 nucleotides) under uncultured bacterium. RNAcentral describes it as "partial 16S ribosomal RNA". It matches the Rfam family "Bacterial small subunit ribosomal RNA", at positions 338 to 795 of the family's 1533-position model. The record is from RNAcentral.
CCUACGGGGGGCAGCAGUAGGGAAUCUUUCACAAUGGGCGAAAGCCUGAUGGAGCAACGCCGCGUGCAGGAUGAAGGCCUUCGGGUUGUAAACUGCUUUUAUAAGCGAGAAAUAUGAUGGUAACUUAUGAAUAAGGAUCGGCUAACUACGUGCCAGCAGCCGCGGUCAUACGUAGGAUCCGAGCAUUAUCCGGAGUGACUGGGUGUAAAGAGUUGCGUAGGUGGCAUAAUAAGUAGCUAGUGAAAUCUGGUGGCUCAACCAUUCAGACUAUUAGCUAAACUGUUAAGCUCGAGACCGUUAGGGGUAACUGGAAUUACUAGUGUAGGAGUGAAAUCCGUAGAUAUUAGAAGGAACACCAAUAGCGUAGGCAGGUUGCUGGGACGGUUCUGACACUAAGGCACGAAAGCGUAGGGAGCAAACGGGAUUAGAUACCCGAGUAGUC